Molecule: ribosomal RNA, 379 nt
Filed under: uncultured eukaryote
Lineage: Eukaryota
Description: partial 18S ribosomal RNA
Rfam family: Eukaryotic small subunit ribosomal RNA
Source: RNAcentral
CAAUAGCGUAUAUUAAAGUUGUUGCAGUUAGAACGCUCGUAGUCGGAUUUCGGGGCGGGCCGACCGGUCUGCCGAUGGGUAUGCACUGGUCGGCGCGUCCUUCCUUCCGGAGACCGUCCCUACUCUUAACUGAGCGGGGGCGGGAGACGGGACUUUUACUUUGAAAAAAUCAGAGUGUUUCAAGCAGGCAGCUCGCUCUUGCAUGGAUUAGCAUGGGAUAAUGAAAUAGGACUUUGGUGCUAUUUUGUUGGUUUCGAACACCGAAGUAAUGAUGAGAAGGGACAGUCAGGGGCACUCGUAUUCCGCCGAGAGAGGUGAAAUUCUCAGACCAGCGGAAGACGAACCACUGCGAANGNAUUUGGNAGGGAUGUUUNCACUG